AAGUCGUAACAAGGUUUCCGUAGGUGAACCUGCGGAAGGAUCAUUAAAACGUAUCCAACGUUAACUAAUUGUGAACUCGUCUCCUCCCUUAGCAAUCGAGAAAUUGGAACUGUGAUCGGCAUUGAGUGGGAUCUCCUUUGUGAGACCGGUCAGUCACAGCCACUGCACAUCUUUUUUGGAUGUGUGACAAUAGUAUCUUUCGUUAAGGAUUCUUUCCUCUUGUUCUUUCAUCCUCCACUCAAGGAUGGGAAUUUGAGGAGUGUAUACUAACCAUUAUCACCCCCUUUUUUGCUAGUUGACUUUUUUAAUGUUGAUGUCUACGAAAGUAGAUGUUACACGUUUCAUAUUAUUUGAACGUAAAAUACAACUCUUAGCAAUGGAUAUCUAGGUUCUC
RNAcentral lists this unclassified non-coding RNA (394 nucleotides) under fungal sp. RNAcentral's name for it is "partial internal transcribed spacer region". The stretch from base 1 to 46 matches the Rfam family "Eukaryotic small subunit ribosomal RNA", at positions 1786 to 1831 of the family's 1831-position model. The record is from RNAcentral. Lineage: Eukaryota; Fungi.